This 497-nucleotide ribosomal RNA is filed under the name uncultured bacterium. RNAcentral describes it as "partial 16S ribosomal RNA". It matches the Rfam family "Bacterial small subunit ribosomal RNA", at positions 28 to 507 of the family's 1533-position model. The record is from RNAcentral.
GAUGAACGCUGGCGGCGUGCCUAAUACAUGCAAGUCGAGCGAACAGACGAGGAGCUUGCUCCUCUGACGUUAGCGGCGGACGGGUGAGUAACACGUGGAUAACCUACCUAUAAGACUGGGAUAACUUCGGGAAACCGGAGCUAAUACCGGAUAAUAUAUUGAACCGCAUGGUUCAAUAGUGAAAGACGGUUUUGCUGUCACUUAUAGAUGGAUCCGCGCCGCAUUAGCUAGUUGGUAAGGUAACGGCUUACCAAGGCGACGAUGCGUAGCCGACCUGAGAGGGUGAUCGGCCACACUGGAACUGAGACACGGUCCAGACUCCUACGGGAGGCAGCAGUAGGGAAUCUUCCGCAAUGGGCGAAAGCCUGACGGAGCAACGCCGCGUGAGUGAUGAAGGUCUUCGGAUCGUAAAACUCUGUUAUUAGGGAAGAACAAAUGUGUAAGUAAGUAUGCACGUCUUGACGGUACCUAAUCAGAAAGCCACGGCUAACUACGUG